Molecule: non-coding RNA, 3477 nt
Organism: Paramuricea clavata
Lineage: Eukaryota; Metazoa; Cnidaria; Anthozoa; Malacalcyonacea; Plexauridae
Source: the annotation of a GenBank genome assembly
CAGAUUUCUGAAGGCAUACCGAUCUUUGAAAUGGCUCAAUGUUGAUGCCGUUAUGGUUCAUAAAUAUUUGCCUUCAUGGCAAAGUACCAGCCUAUUUCUCCGAUAAGUUUAUGCUUCGUUCCGCCAUAUACAUAACAGAUCAACUAGACAUAUUGCAAUGAUUUGAAUUUGCCCAAAUGUAGGCUUGCACCUGGGCAAAGAAUGUUUUCCUAGUAGGGGGGCAAAACUAUAUAAUGAUUUGUCUCGUGAUAGUGAUACUAUGAGAAAUUGAGAACACUAGAUUUUUUAAGAAAAGACUUCGAAAUGAACUCAGAAAGAACUCAUUGUAUAACAUUAUUAAUUAACUGUAGCGGGGAACAGCCCUUUUUAGGCAGCUAUAUAUGUCUAUGUAUAUAUGAUAAAUAUCUAAUAAAGUUUCUAUUCUAUUCUAUUUUUUUAGUCUACCUACAGUUUAGGGUAUAGACUAUAGUGUUACAAUAAUUAAUUAGUGUUGGUAAUUGUAUGGUUUCGAGUGCAAUUUGGAAAAACUACAUGCACGAGUGAGUUUUUAAACUCUAUGAAAACAAGACAUCUAUACUAUAUACAUAAAGAUAUUAGGAAAAGUAGUAAAUCCUGUUCCCGUAGUCAAAGACUUAUGCGUCAGUAUUGACUCGAUCUUAGCUAUAAUGAAAAUAUACUAUAAGGAAUUAGUUUCAAAUUGCAUGUUUAAACUAUCAAGAAUUAAUCGGAUCAAACAUGCACUUGCUAGAUAGAAAAACAAUUCUUAUAUGGAGCAAUACAUCUUAACAGAAUGUAAAGAAGCUGCAACUAGUGCAGUAUUUUGCUGCAAGGAUUGUCCUGGGACACCAUAUUUCCAUAUUUCAAAUCGUUUUUUUUUCUAUUUCGAGUCCGGGUUUUCAAAAGUCAAAUCCGGAUUUUCUCAAAGAUGAAUCCGGAUUGUUUUCAGGUCCGGGUUUUUCUCGAGUCCGGAUUUUCUUCGAGUCCGGUUCCAGGUUUCGACGUAUGCCACAGAUAUCUCCUCUUUUGUCAACUUAAUCAUACUCUAACCUAUUCAUUUUUAUAUAGUUGUGUAAAUAGUGUUCUAGUAAUCUAGUCCUUGUUUUUAAUGUUGUUUUGUAUCAGGUUUGUCUUCACAUGGGACUCAUCACUCAUGUCCUGUUGACCAUACCUUCAAUCAUUGUUAUAUAUUUUAUAACACUUUUGUAUGAUUGUAAAGCUAAUCAGAUAAACAUCCAUUUCCAACGAAGGUCCAUGCUAUUUUCAGUCUUUCCAUAGUUUUGAAAACAAUUUACAGCGUUUGUUGUAUGCCAGCAGGGACGUGUUGGCUAGGGACGAGCCGACGAGAAUUCGUUGCGAACCCUUUGCCAUCAUGGGCCCCUAAAAUUAAAACUUUGGAAAAGAUAAAAAUAUAGAUUUUAAUUUUGAAAAUCAAGAUUAAGAUAUUGCAAUUAAUUUCUAUCUUAAAAAUCUAAAUUUACGAAGAUAUUUCCCAUCAGACGUUGCUCAUUCGUCGUCCUUUCCAAGACCCCAGCACGUCCCUGUAUGCCAGCAUAGUCUCUGUAAUACUCUCCUCCACAGAACCGCGACUGAUAAACACGAAUUCAAAGGUAGCUAUGCAAUGGUUUCUGUAUUAACCUUGCCCUCUGAACGGAUGUUUUGUAAGAAAGGAGGUAUCGUUUGAUAUAGACCUACGUAAUUACCAUGAAAUAAACACGAAAGGUAGCUAUGGUUUCUGUAACCUUGCCCUCCAGAACGGAUGUUCGUAUUAAAGAAAGGACGGUAUCGUUUGAUACCGACCUACGUAAUUACUUAACACACCAUGAUCGCUGGAACUGAUAAACACUUAUCACGCGCAUAUUGUUUGUCCGCGGCUGAGACGCGCGAGUUAAACAGGUCGAAUAAAAAAUUGCAUAUAUUACAUAUAUGUGUUGAGCUAAAUGUGACGCGGGGAAAAAACUGAAUAAGAUCAAAGACUUAAUCCAAAGGUAGGAUAUUUGAUAAUAUACUGGAACAAACACUUUGAAAUUAUGAAAUCCGACCGUUUUAAAGAAUGGUGCAUUGUGUUAUAGCUUUUGAUGAAUUGAUAUUUGCUCAAACCAAUUAGGUUUAUUGAAUUUUUAAAUAUUAUCUAUUUUUAUUAGAAAUUUCUACAGUAAUGCUGGCGUUUAGUGAUAUGAAAAACAUAUGUGACAAAUUUUAAUAAUUCACAGAUGAGAUCUCAUAUAAAUUAUAUAAUUUUGAAAAUUUGGUAAGGAGCGCUGUAUUACAUAAAAUUGUACUAUCGUUUUUUUACAUUAGCAGUUGAAGUAUCGUUGUUCAUAUAUUGUUGCGCACUUAUUGUAUUUUGGCCGCAAAUAUUGUGCGUGACAUAUAAGUCGGAUUUCAUUUCCUGACCAACCAACACAUAAUAUCACGCUGUUUCAACCAUGCAUAAGUUUUCCUUACUUGUGUAUUAAAUACAAGAUUACAGGGUGUCCCAAAACUAAAACCCAAAACUAUUGAAAUAACGUAUUGUUACAAUUUGGGUGCAUAUAUUGAAUAUUAACUUAUUAAGAAAUUAAAAUAUCUUUGCAAAGCGCACGAUUUUCUGCUCUACGCCUUCGGGAAUUUAAAGCAGCUUCUUAAUUAAACAGUUUCUUUAUGCAUAAAAUUUACUUAUAUCACUUGUGAGUUCAGCAGAGUGCUGAGGCAUUUAAAUUCUAGCAAUACGUUAUUUCAAUAGUUUUGGAUUUUUGGGAUGUGUGUUACAUGAAAUAGAAUUGUUGCUGUAUGCCUGCAUCACACCUGUUUGUAUAAAUAUGCGUUGCGCGAAGUACGCUUUUUCUAUAGCUUAUUUAUUUACAAGAUUCUCCGAACAUAACAGACAUAAAUUCGACUAGACAAAAUUUACAUACACACAGGCAUGGACUGACCACACAAGCAAUCUCCAAUUUGAAUAACGGGGUCCCGUAAGUGCAAAUAGUACGUGCCUUUGAAAUAGUUUCAACAUUCGGGAAAAUUAGCGCGUCCGAAGCUAAAAAUUCCUAUCUUUUGACGUUCAUUAACUAAUCACGCGCUUUCUGAUGACGCAAAUACAAUUAUUAAAAUAUUCUGAAUUGUCAACAACUGAUGAGUAUGCUGGUGAAGUUCCAUAUAGUUUCUCAUGCAGUAACAGAAUAUAUAUUAUCAUAGUUAAUAGAAUAGAUGGUUUGGAAACUCAUUAGAAUAACAAUAUAACUCAUUAUCUAUGUUAGUCAACGUUUAUUCAUAAAUAUGGUCCUUCACCGUCACGUGUGUAUUGUAUUUUUGACAAAUCCACCAAUAGCAAUUUCCAAUUUGCCCUAUUGUUCCAGUCACGGAUAGGUAACUUUCCUAAAACAUUGCUAUUGAUUAGUUGGGCAAAAAUACAAUGCACACGUGACGGUGAAGGACCAGAUUUAUGAAUAAACGUUGACUAACAUAGAUAAUGAGUUUUAUUGUUAUUCAAACCAUCUAUUC